UGUGUUUAACACAGGUAAAAAGUAUGGUUUCUGGUCAAGCCGCCUUUCUCAACCAUGUCUCUUCCUUACCAUAGACUGUAGCCCACAUAAAAAAUACGGGCCUUAAACAUAGACUGUAAGCAGCGCUAUUUUGACCCUUGGCGCAUCCAGUAGUCUCUGCCGUGUGCGCUCACUUUAGCACCAGACUGCACCGAGGAAGAACAGAGGGAAGCGGGACGCAGUUGGAAAAACGAGGUCACACGGGCCCAGAAGCGGGUGUUAAGUGUAAAGACACCAUCACUCUGGAUUUUUGAAUGCCGUCAUUUACCGAAGGAGUUUUUUCCCCCUGGAAACUCCGGCUGGUUUUUGAGACCCUGGAUUGUAGCUUAGAGGUCAACUCUUCACUGGAUGCAGAUGGCAGCGAGUCCCAGAGAUGAUGCACCCUGUAUGAUGAGAUCAGAACAUGGUGUGGCCAGCUGCUUCAGAUCCCAUUCAACAGGACUGACACAUCAGAUUACAGGACACUGGCAGAUAAGAAAGAUCUACCACACGUUCAUUAUCCUGCCCAGGUAGAGAUACAAAUAACUGAAAGACACUGGACACUUUUUAAAAUUGUAUUUUUUAUGAAAGAGCUCUUCUUAUUCUGGGGAUUAUUUCAAACAUGCUUGGUGCACUAUGAGAGUGUUAAAGGCACUGUAAUAAACCUGCCCAUUGUUUAAUCACACACAGUCUAUUUCUUAUCCCAACACUACUCCUCAGAACCUAGGUUGGUAAGUUAGCUAAAGUUCUACACUAGUGUUAAAUAUUCUAGACCUGUCUUUAUCAUUCAAAAACUAAGCUAUAGGGCUUUCCCCAGUACGUUAAACUAUGAUGCUAAGGGGCUCCCAAGUGUGUUAUAAAGUGACAACAAGGGGUCUUGACCAUCGGUCCAUAUGUGAACUUGGGAGUGAGAACGGGUUGGGUUGUAGAUGGUUCAUUUUAUAUCAACAGUUGUACAGUUUAUGCAGCAAUAGUCUCGUGUUAUUGUGUUUUUUUGUGAAUGAAUGGGUGAAAGGCAUUUUGUAAUAAAUAAUAUGUUCUGUA
Molecule: long non-coding RNA, 1062 nt
Organism: Micropterus dolomieu (smallmouth bass)
Lineage: Eukaryota; Metazoa; Chordata; Actinopteri; Centrarchiformes; Centrarchidae
Exons: 2
Source: RefSeq, a predicted model, not a curated record